CUUGAGAGUUCCACUCGCUGAUUCUGCCACCUGAGGAGCAUGGCGUCUCCGAAUACAAGGCAUUUCAGCUCAACUCCCUCACCCAGAAUCCUGCAGCUCGCUCGGCCCCGAGAAUCUAAAACAGUUUGGCUCACAACUCCACAGAAGGUGACUUGGGGCAACCAGGAGACAAUAUGGUCGCCAUCCAGGACAGCAUUAAUAGCCGUACCAACAACAAGGAUUCUGGCUCUGUCACAACCCAAAAAAGAUUUGUCUGCCCUCAGUCAAGACCUGCUUAGGAAAAAGCACGAGGGGAUUGAAGAAGCAAAGAAGAGGAGCGCGUGUGUUCCUUCCAGUACAGCACAGUACGAACAUGUCGCGCGCCUGGCAACCCCAAAUGUUCGUCACAGGAGCUCCCAGGCAGUGAGCCCCCCUCAUACAAAGCAAUGUGAGCACAAUUGUCCUGUGUGGCACAUCAGCCCUGUGGUGCAGAAUGCUGUGGCCUCUCCACGCAUUCUCCAGCUUGCUCAGCCCAGAAACACACACCCUGAGUACAAGAGCAACCGCCAGGUAGAAACAUGCAUCUCGUGUGCAGCUAAAUCAGCUCAGGCGAGUCCAAGGCUUGAGCAGCUUUGUGUGCCCAAAGUGCGAGAGAGCAAACUUUUCUACCAGCUUGGCCAUCCUGAGAGUACCAUCAGGCCUGUGUCUAAAGGAGCAAGAAAAGCCACAGCAAGCACUCGCGUGAGAGAGCUCUCGAUCCCAAAGAGCUAUAUCCCUCCCUGAAAAAAAGAACUAAAGAGACAGAGACCUCAUAAUCAGCAGCGUUACUGUCAUAGUUAAAGAACAGAGAGAGUGAAAACAAGAAUAACAGAUGGACUUAAUAAAUGACCACACUAAUAAGCAUAUAAAAGGGUUUCUAUAUUUUUCUUUUCUCUUUUGUGCUUUUGCUGUCUGUAGGCCUCAGACUUUACCUUGGAACGUUUCAGUCUGAAAUGGGAAAGGUUGUGUUAUUUUAAGCAAAAUGCCAGAAUGGUAAACACUGCAAACAGGAUAACUUUUCUCAGUCGAUCAGUGUGUCUUUUGUGUGUUUUUCACAUCAGUUCACACAGCUUUAGUUUCGGUUACGCAACAAGAAUGAAGAGUCGGUGUGUGUGGGGGGGGAACGUUGCAACUCAAACACAGACCUUCUUUAAUAACUUUACAGAGUAAACUGCUUCUGUGUGUGAAUGUUGAUCCCAAUGACAUUUCUGUAUGUGAUAUAAGUAAGGAAUAAAAGAGGACGGGUCAUACUGUUGUAGGAAAGUAAUCAAUGACAGGGUGGUGCGAUGCAGCCAAUGUGAAGAGUUUUAUUCCUCCCAUACCACAGCAAUUUGUCAACACUAACAAUUUCUUUGAUUCAUUAUAGAACAUGUUGUACAUGUUGUAAAAGGAGACUCCUUUUAAAACUGCUAAAUAAACAUCUCCUCACAGAGAACAUCAAAUCAGCAAUUACACAAUUUAAAAAAUAAAAUAAAAUCUGUUUACUUGGCACAUACACCAUACAAAUUCUGUCAGAGCUGCUAUUGUAGAAAAUUAAUCAACACCCUCUGACCAGUCAGAAUCAUUUUGCCUCCACCUAUUUGUUUUGGAUUAUUUCCUUAAUUCCUAAGGAAAGUUUUUUUCCCGCCAGUUAUUUUGUCUUUCACUUCAUGGUCAUAUGGUUUUGUGUAAUUGUAUAAUCUAUUUUCUUCCAUUUGUUUUUAGUGUUUAAAAUAAACAACAAC
Ictalurus punctatus (channel catfish) is the source of this 1742-nucleotide long non-coding RNA. Lineage: Eukaryota; Metazoa; Chordata; Actinopteri; Siluriformes; Ictaluridae. The record is from Ensembl.